RNAcentral lists this ribosomal RNA (560 nucleotides) under Alteromonadales bacterium HD-OI-02-5. Its description in RNAcentral is "bacterial SSU rRNA". It matches the Rfam family "Bacterial small subunit ribosomal RNA", at positions 72 to 631 of the family's 1533-position model. The record is from RNAcentral. Lineage: Bacteria; Pseudomonadati; Pseudomonadota; Gammaproteobacteria; Alteromonadales.
AAAGUAGCUUGCUUCUUUGCUGACGAGCGGCGGACGGGUGAGUAAUGCUUGGGAACAUGCCUUGAGGUGGGGGACAACAGUUGGAAACGACUGCUAAUACCGCAUAAUGUCUACGGACCAAAGGGGGCUUCGGCUCUCGCCUUUAGAUUGGCCCAAGUGGGAUUAGCUAGUUGGUGAGGUAAUGGCUCACCAAGGCGACGAUCCCUAGCUGGUUUGAGAGGAUGAUCAGCCACACUGGGACUGAGACACGGCCCAGACUCCUACGGGAGGCAGCAGUGGGGAAUAUUGCACAAUGGGCGCAAGCCUGAUGCAGCCAUGCCGCGUGUGUGAAGAAGGCCUUCGGGUUGUAAAGCACUUUCAGUCAGGAGGAAAGGUUAACGGUUAAUACCCGUUAGCUGUGACGUUACUGACAGAAGAAGCACCGGCUAACUCCGUGCCAGCAGCCGCGGUAAUACGGAGGGUGCGAGCGUUAAUCGGAAUUACUGGGCGUAAAGCGUACGCAGGCGGUUUGUUAAGCGAGAUGUGAAAGCCCCGGGCUCAACCUGGGAACUGCAUUUCGA